This 497-nucleotide ribosomal RNA is filed under the name uncultured bacterium. RNAcentral's name for it is "partial 16S ribosomal RNA". It matches the Rfam family "Bacterial small subunit ribosomal RNA", at positions 28 to 507 of the family's 1533-position model. The record is from RNAcentral.
GAUGAACGCUGGCGGCGUGCCUAAUACAUGCAAGUCGAGCGAACAGAUAAGGAGCUUGCUCCUUUGACGUUAGCGGCGGACGGGUGAGUUACACGUGGAUAACCUACCUAUAAGACUGGGAUAACUUCGGGAAACCGGAGCUAAUACCGGAUAACAUAUUGAGCCGCAUGGUUCAAUAGUGAAAGGCGGCUUUGCUGUCACUUAUAGAUGGAUCCGCGCCGUAUUAGCUAGUUGGUAAGGUAACGGCUUACCAAGGCAACGAUACGUAGCCGACCUGAGAGGGUGAUCGGCCACACUGGAACUGAGACACGGUCCAGACUCCUACGGGAGGCAGCAGUAGGGAAUCUUCCGCAAUGGGCGAAAGCCUGACGGAGCAACGCCGCGUGAGUGAUGAAGGUCUUCGGAUCGUAAAACUCUGUUAUCAGGGAAGAACAAAUGUGUAAGUAACUGUGCACAUCUUGACGGUACCUGAUCAGAAAGCCACGGCUAACUACGUG